This 793-nucleotide long non-coding RNA is filed under the name Trifolium pratense (red clover). Its description in RNAcentral is "long non-coding RNA (TPRA_LNC004340)". The record is from RNAcentral. Lineage: Eukaryota; Viridiplantae; Streptophyta; Magnoliopsida; Fabales; Fabaceae.
GUUUAAAUGUGCAAACAAGCUGUGUUAAUUGUAUUCACUAUUUGUUCCAAUUUCUCUCCUACCUUAUAAUUAAAAAGUUUCAUUUACUAGCAAACAUAUAUUCAUCACACACACACACACAUAUAUAUAUAUAUAAUAAAUAAAUUAUAUGAAACUGAACAUACCUUGAGCGGAGAAGCUAUCGAGUGAAUUACCACCGAGGUUCAAAGUUUUUAGAGCAGUUAAUCCAUUCAAACUUAACAAAAUGUUUGUAUUAUUUAGACGGUUCUGUGAAAGGUCUAAAGUCUCCAACUUUUGUAAUCUAGGAAAGCCUUCAAAAGAAGCAGAUCGUAAGAUAUGACAAUCGGAAACUUUUUUUCCCAAAAAAACAAAUCGAAUGUUUUUUUCCAAUUUCUUUCCUCCUAAUAAAUAAGUUUCAUUUGCGUCAAAAAAAUAAAUAAAUUAUAUGAAACUGAACAUACCUUGAGCGGAUAAGCUAUCGAGUGAAUUACCACCGAGGUUCAAAGUUUUGAGAGCAGUUAAUCCAUUCAAACUUGACAAUAUGCUUAUAUUAUUUAGACCGUUGUAUGAAAGGUCUAAGGUCUCCAACUUUUGUAAUUUAGCAAAAUCUUCAAAAGAAGCAGAUGGUAAGAUAUGACAAUCGGAAAAAAAAUUUCCAAAAAAAAAAAUCGAAUGUUUUUUCCAAUUUCUUUCCUCCUAAUAAAUAAGUUUCAUUUGCGUCAAAAAAAUAAAUAAAUUAUAUGAAACUGAACAUACCUUGAGCGGAGAAGCUAUCGAGUGAAUUAGCACCGAG